This 470-nucleotide long non-coding RNA is filed under the name Rattus norvegicus (Norway rat). RNAcentral describes it as "long non-coding RNA NONRATT025548". Lineage: Eukaryota; Metazoa; Chordata; Mammalia; Rodentia; Muridae. The record is from RNAcentral.
UUACAGAUGCUCGGGUACGACAUCAGCUGGGCUGCCUUCAACAUCAUUGAAGUCAUGAGUGCCUCCAAGUUCACAUUCAAGCGUGUCGGCUACCUUGCAGCCUCUCAGUGCUUCCAUGAAGGUACUGACGUCAUCAUGCUGACCACUAACCAGAUCCGAAAGAUCUUGCCAGAGACCUGGCAAAUGACAUCAUGACCCUGAUGUCUCACACGAAGCCAUACAUCAGGAAGAAGGCAGUGCUGAUCAUGUACAAAGUGUUCCUCAAGUACCCUGAGUCACUGCGUCCUGCCUUUCCCCGGCUUAAGGAGAAGCUGGAGGACCCAGACCCAGGGGUGCAGUCUGCAGCUGUCAAUGUCAUCUGUGAGCUAGCGCGCCGAAACCCUAAAAACUACCUGUCUCUGGCUCCACUGUUUUUUAAGCUCAUGACAUCCUCUACCAACAACUGGGUCCUCAUCAAGAUCAUCAAACUG